RNAcentral lists this long non-coding RNA (4737 nucleotides) under Sus scrofa (pig). RNAcentral describes it as "lncRNA (ENSSSCG00000051565.1, ENSSSCG00025071297.1, ENSSSCG00035003062.1, ENSSSCG00065030089.1)". The record is from RNAcentral. Lineage: Eukaryota; Metazoa; Chordata; Mammalia; Artiodactyla; Suidae.
AUUGAAACACAUUGUCCUUCCUCUCUGAGAGUGGCUGAGGGCAGAGACUUUCUGUUUUCAUUUUUUAAUUCCCAGAGCCCAGCACAGAGCUGAGCCAACAACACGUUUCAUGUAUACUCGGGGAAAAAAUGGAAGAUCAGUCAGCUUCUGAGAGUAUUAUCUUCUCAUAGAAUCUUGGGGCUAAAAGUACAGUCCAACCUCUAAGGAGAUGUUUAACUUCUUGAGUUCACAGAUGAAGAAACCAAGAAAUAAAGAACGAACAUGACCUAUGGAGAAGUGGCAGGGCUGAAGAACCAGGGUGUUUCCCAUGUACCUCAUGGCCUGUUCAUCCAAAAUGAUGGCAGAAGCCACAGAACACUAGUUCUACGCAGGUGAGGGAGAAGGGGAGGCACUGUACUUGCCCAGCACUCUUUAAAUUUUAGCACAUUGCUGUGAGGCAGAGACCCUACCAGCAGGGCAGUAUGGAACUUUUGGGUCAAUAGCUCAUGAGAGGAGUACUAUAGACAUACAGCUUCAGGGCAUAGAGGGGUUAAGUACCUUGCGAAGAUUCAUGCAGAAUUGGGAUUCGAAGCAUGACAAGCUCUGAACCACUGUACCAGGCUGUGCCAGGCCUGUCCAAGAUGGGGAUAAAAUGAUUUUGGAGGGGCCAGCCCUUGCCUCCCCUCGUGCACAUGAUCCCACUGCUAGGCACUGCUGCCACCAGGAAGGAGAGUGGCAACACACAGGGCACUAUUGGAGGCUGUUCUGCUGUCACACACCAAGUCAGGUACAGAGUUCCAGGUCUUGAGAGAAAAGAUGCCAGGAAGGGACUAGACAUGCAAAAGAUUUAUUAGGGAUAAUAUCUGUGAAGAAUAAAAGGGGGAGCAGAAGAUGGCAGAGAGAGACUUUAGACCCUGAAAAGCAUGGGAGAAGGAAAGAAGAUUGCACAGGAAGUGUCAGAAUUCCUCAGCCAGGGCACUGGGGAAGCCUCAAGCUGAAAUUUCCCCUUAAAGCAGCUAGGUCCCAUGCAAAUGAGCUGCAUUAGCACCCCCACUCUGCUCAGUCAUUAGCUGAGGGCAGCCUCAGCACAAAGACAAGAGUAGAUCCAGAGGGCAGCAACUGGGACUAUCAAUUAGGUUUCCAACAGGAGGUGACCAAUGACUGCAUCCUCCUGGUCAUCCCACCCUGCCAGAGCUGGCUCACCAGGCCAGUCAUUCCAGUUAUACUCAGGCAGAGCUCCCCGUGCAGCAUCAACACACUUGACAUUUAGAGCAUGCCCUCCUUGUCAUAUUCAUCAUCUGGUACAGUGCUCUCCAUGUGGGGUUGGAGUGGUUCUAGGCAGGCCCACCUGCUUCAGAAUCAUCUAGGGGCUUGGGGCAGACUGCUGGGCCCAACCCAGACAUACCUAAUGAGAACCUUUGCAGCUGGCCUCAGGACUAUGCAGUUCCAGCAGGCUCCACAAAUGACUAGACACUGCCAGAGCCACCAGUUUUCUGUUCACUCUUACCAUAGCCAUCUCCGUUUCACCAGUGAGGAAACCAAAGCUCACAGAGGCCAGCAGCCUGGGGAGCAUUGCUUCAGGGGAACAAGAAAGUGGGGUGACAUGUUUUAGAAGGUGAGGAUAGAGACCUUUCUAUCAGAAGACACUGAAGGAACACCAGCUUAUAAUCAGCGUAUAUGGUCCAUCUCCUCCAGGGAGAAUGUCAGCCUUAAGAAGGCAAAAUCCUGAUUUCUUUUGUGCAGUGAGGUGUCCCCAGCACCCAACACAGUGCUUGCCACACAGCCAGUGCUCCAUAUUUGCUAAGAGAAGGUACAGUGCAUCUGGUAUGGUGGGCAUAUUUAGUGAGGAUACUGGGGUGGGGCCUGAGCCCGAGAUGGUGUUUAAGUCCCCAUUGUAAAGUGGAGUCAGAGGAGGGCUUUACUUUUCUAGGAUCCAAGAACACAAGGAGGUAGCAAGAAACCAAGGAUGUUGGGUUCAAGAUCCAGUGCUUAUUGCUCAAGGGUCCCUGCUGUGUGCUUGCUGCCUAGAACAGGGCCUGGUGUAUAACAGGUGCUCAUUAAACACCUGUUUUGAAUGAAGAGAGGAGAGAAAAAGAAGGGAGAGAGGGGAAGGGAGGGGAGAGGAGGCAGUAGGCCACAAUCCCUGGAAUCCACAGAAUCCCUUUCAGCCUUCCCUGCCUGCCUAUUCCCAGCUCAGAUAACCAGCUCCCUCCCUUUCCUUCAGGAUCCCUAGCUGACAGUUCCAUAAAUGAAUAAGCCUGUGUGGGGUUGGAAGGAUAUAAACUAACACACUAAUAAAACAAAUUUUAGGAUAUUAUAAUUCUGGACCGCACCAGUUUAUAACUACAAAAUGAGAUCACAUUAAUUUUUGUUGUUGUUGUUGUGCCCCUGCCAUGUGGAAGUUUCUGGGCCAGGGAUCAAACCCAUACCAGGGCAGCGACCUGAGCUGCUACAGUGACAAUACUGGAUCCUUAACCCACUGAGCUACAAGGGAGUCCAAAGUCACAUUAAUUUUUAAAGUGUGGUUUUUAAUAUGUAUAUUGUUUUUAAAAUCAAGAAGUACAAAAGCAUGUGGUGAAAGAUAAAACUCUACACCCCCCUCCCAAUGCCCCAGAUCCCACAGAAGGCAGUCAUUGCUAAUAUUUCCUUGCAUGUCCUUCUAGAGGUAUUCUAUCCUAUCCAUUCCAAACUUCUCACACACUUGCUGAUCCACUACACAAACCCUUUGUACCUUGCUUUUCACAGUAAACAAAAUACUCUGCACCUGGCUUGUUCAUUUUUUAAGGCUGCAUAGAAGCCCAUUAGAAUGUCUCAUCAAAUUUUCAUGCACAGCCCAAAAUGGCUUAAGUCCCUAUUCAACUCAAUUUUCACGAAGUCUGAUCUUUAGCCAGUUUCUUUUCCAACUUGAGGUGAAGACCCCAAUUUUGGAGCCUCCACUCCUGAUGUUCUGUAUGUGCUGCAUGUGUGCACAUAUACAUACCUUCUCAGAACAAACCAUAUCAUGUGAGCAUAAGACCAUCUAAAUUCUUAUAGAGUACUUCAUGCACUUUGUGCCCCAGGUCACAUAAUCUUUUAUUUUAAAGCCAUCUAUAUUCUGUCUCCAUUUCCCCAGGAAGAGAAGUUAAUGCCUUGUUUGUCAGGACAAAUGUACUGUAGGUGCCUCAAAGCCUCCAAAUGUUGAGAGAAACUAAAAAUUGCAGCUUUAAAAUGAAAGUUUGAUACUAAAUUCUAUGGUUUAGUUUUUGUUCCCUGAGAUCUGAUAACUUCAGAGUAAAAAGAGUUGUGAACCUUGAGAGCUUGUUGCUGGGUAUGGAGUACUGCAGGGCAGUUCCACAAAGCUGAAGAGAGAGGAAACCUUGGGGUCGCUGUGGGUUGUGUCUUUCGAGUGAUGGAAGAAACUGGCUGCAGGUGACUUGUCUGCCCAUUUCACAGUUUCAGCUGGGCUCGGCUCUGCCCACUCCCACUUUGCCCUGACAACUAACUUUCCUCUUGAUGUCACUUCAGUUGUGGGAAGGUGAAGAGAGGGCACGGGCUGCUACCAGCACCAUCUCACUCCUGAGUUUCAUUUUGGCUUUGUCUAAAGAAACACUUGCUAAUUAUAGCUAACAAUUAGAGUGUGGUAGGACUGGAGACAAGCAGACCUGGGUUUAAACCCCAGCUCCAUCUCAUCCCAGCCGUAUGACUUUAGACAGGUGGCAGUGUCUCAGAGACCAAUUUCUUCACCUGUUAACAGGUACUGGUGAACUGCCUAAUGCACAGCAAGUCCUUCUUCCUCCUCUUCUCUCUCCUUCCCCAAAGGAAAGAGUCUCACUGACUCCCUAGGUGUCACUUUUUACAAACCCUAAACCCGGGGAUGAGAAAGUGAUGGCAAGGCUGAUCCCUCUGCCCUGUCUGGGUCCUUAAUCUGAUCUCAUUCCUCGAGGAGCUGAUCCACGGGGAUGGUCGACUGUGAAAUCAUCAGUCUCCAUGCCUUUCCCCACACCUCCAGUGGCUCUGGAUAUUUAAAAAAGUUGUGAACCUUGCCCUGGGGAGAUGAAGAUAGCAAGAGGAAAUGGAGAAUGCAGUGGCUGAAGAAGCUUGGAGAAGGAUGGAGGAGGCCAGUGCUAAUUUUGCACAUUUUAAAAACAUAUGUAUUGCUAAGACUUCCAGAUAACAUCUAGCAAUCUUAGGUAACAUAGAAAGCAAAUGAAGUACCAUCCUUUAGUAUGUCAAAAAAAUUAUCACUAAUCCCUGUAAUGUUACUCACAACCUAUUCUGUUUUUCUGUACACGUAUAUUAACUUGGUUAGCAUAAGUUCAUAAUGUCCCUCAGGUUACUUUUAAAUUUACUCUAACAUUAUGCAUAAAAUUAAGUUUGUUAUUUUUUCCCUCUGUUCAUCCUCAUCCUCCCUCGUGUCUCUCUUAAACACACACACAAACACACACACACACACACACACCCCUGCCCUCAGAGUGAGAAGGCAGAGCCCAGGAGCACAGGUGUGGGUGGGUAGGCAAGAGGCGGGGAUGGGUGUGGGAGCUGUUCUCUUGCGAUUGCCUCUAUUUUCUCAGAGAAAUAGGAAGCAAAAUUGCCAACUGAGAGUAAAAUUUGGAAAGAAGGUUUGAGGUUUGAGAAAAAGAGUCUGACAGUCUGAUCUCUUUCUGCGAUGAAGAGUGAGAAUUUGCAAAGCAAAUGGAACAGGAUUUCUAAAGAGAGAUGCUCUGUCUCCAACUCCAGUUGAAGUUCUACACUGAAAACAACAAAUACUAAGUCCCCAGC